AGAGAGCUUGCUCUCUGGGUGACGAGCGGCGGACGGGUGAGUAAUGUCUGGGAAACUGCCUGAUGGAGGGGGAUAACUACUGGAAACGGUAGCUAAUACCGCAUAACGUCUUCGGACCAAAGUGGGGGACCUUCGGGCCUCACGCCAUCAGAUGUGCCCAGAUGGGAUUAGCUAGUAGGUGGGGUAAUGGCUCACCUAGGCGACGAUCCCUAGCUGGUCUGAGAGGAUGACCAGCCACACUGGAACUGAGACACGGUCCAGACUCCUACGGGAGGCAGCAGUGGGGAAUAUUGCACAAUGGGCGCAAGCCUGAUGCAGCCAUGCCGCGUGUGUGAAGAAGGCCUUCGGGUUGUAAAGCACUUUCAGCGAGGAGGAAGGGUUCAGUGUUAAUAGCACUGUACAUUGACGUUACUCGCAGAAGAAGCACCGGCUAACUCCGUGCCAGCAGCCGCGGUAAUACGGAGGGUGCAAGCGUUAAUCGGAAUUACUGGGCGUAAAGCGCACGCAGGCGGUUUGUUAAGUCAGAUGUGAAAUCCCCGCGCUUAACGUGGGAACUGCAUUUGAAACUGGCAAGCUAGAGUCUUGUAGAGGGGGGUAGAAUUCCAGGUGUAGCGGUGAAAUGCGUAGAGAUCUGGAGGAAUACCGGUGGCGAAGGCGGCCCCCUGGACAAAGACUGACGCUCAGGUGCGAAAG
Molecule: ribosomal RNA, 693 nt
Filed under: Serratia sp. (in: enterobacteria)
Lineage: Bacteria; Pseudomonadati; Pseudomonadota; Gammaproteobacteria; Enterobacterales; Yersiniaceae
Also listed under: 1 other name
Description: bacterial SSU rRNA
Rfam family: Bacterial small subunit ribosomal RNA
Source: RNAcentral